This 2091-nucleotide ribosomal RNA is filed under the name Butyricicoccus sp. AM28-25. Its description in RNAcentral is "partial 23S ribosomal RNA". It matches the Rfam family "Bacterial large subunit ribosomal RNA", at positions 758 to 2925 of the family's 2925-position model. The record is from RNAcentral. Lineage: Bacteria; Bacillati; Bacillota; Clostridia; Eubacteriales; Butyricicoccaceae.
AAGACACCGUGGAGGGCCGCACCCACGUCUGUUGAAAAAGCCGGGGAUGACUUGUGGAUAGCGGAGAAAUUCCAAUCGAACUCGGAGAUAGCUGGUUCUCCCCGAAAUAGCUUUAGGGCUAGCGUUAUUUUAGAUUACCGGAGGUAAAGCACUGAAUGGUCUAGGGGCCGCGAGGUUACCAAAGCCUAUCAAACUCUGAAUGCCGGAUAAUUGAUGAAUAGCAGUCAGACUGUGUGAGAUAAGUCUCAUAGUCAAAAGGGAAACAGCCCAGAUCUACAGCUAAGGUCCCAAAUGAACACUAAGUGGAAAAUGAUGUGAAACUGCGAAGACAACCAGGAUGUUGGCUUAGAAGCAGCCACUCAUUCAAAGAGUGCGUAAUAGCUCACUGGUCGAGUGGUUUUGCGCAGAAAAUGUAACGGGGCUAAGUGUUCAACCGAAGCUUAGGCAUUGCAGCAAUGCAUUGGGUAGGGGAGCGUCGUAUGCGGGGCGAAGUCAGAGCGGAAGCACUGGUGGACUGCAUACGAGUGAGAAUGCCGGAAUAAGUAGCGAGAAUUAUGUGAGAAUCAUAAUGGCCGAAAAUCUAAGGUUUCUUGGGGAAGGUUCGUCCGCCCAAGGUUAGUCGGGAGCUAAGCUCAGGCCGAAAGGCGUAGGCGAUGCACAUACGGUAGAAAUUCCGUAACCACCGAACAUUUAAGCUAGAGGGACGCUUUCAUUAAGUCUAUCCCGGGCGAUGGUUGCCCCGGGCGUAAGGGACCGAAAUAUAGUAGGGAAGUAGACGGCGUGAGAGACGAGAAAAGCUCUAGUGUAUACUAAGGUGCCCGUACCGCAAACCGACACAGGUAGAUGGGAUGAGUAUUCUAAGGCCAACGGGAGAAGGGUUGUUAAGGAACUCGGCAAAUUGGCCCCGUAACUUCGGGAUAAGGGGCGCCUGCGAGAGCAGGCCGCAGUGAAAAGGCCCAAGCGACUGUUUAGCAAAAACACAGCUCUCUGCUAAAUCGAAAGAUGACGUAUAGGGGGUGACGCCUGCCCGGUGCUGGAAGGUUAAGGGGAGUGCUUAGCGCAAGCGAAGGUGCGAACUUAAGCCCCAGUAAACGGCGGCCGUAACUAUAACGGUCCUAAGGUAGCGAAAUUCCUUGUCAGGUAAGUUCUGACCCGCACGAAUGGCGUAACGAUUUGGGCACUGUCUCAACAGCCCGCCCGGCGAAAUUGUAGUACCGGUGAAGAUGCCGGUUUCCCGCAACUAGACGGAAAGACCCCAUGGAGCUUCACUGUAGCUUGAUAUUGGAUCUCGGUAUUCCAUGUACAGGAUAGGUGGGAGACUUGGAAGUAAGCGCGCCAGCGUUUAUGGAGUCAACCUUGGGAUACCACUCUUGGGAUAUUGGGAUUCUAACCUGCGACCAUGAAUCUGGUCGGGGGACACUGUCAGGUGGGCAGUUUGACUGGGGCGGUCGCCUCCAAAAGAGUAACGGAGGCGCUCAAAGGUUCGUUCAGCACGGAUGGAAAUCGUGCACUGAGUGUAAACGCAUAAACGAGCCUAACUGCGAGAAUGACGGUUCGAGCAGUAACGAAAGUUGGAGUUAGUGAUCCGGCGGUAUGUGAAUGGAAAUGCCGUCGCUCAACGGAUAAAAGCUACCCUGGGGAUAACAGGCUGAUCUCCCCCAAGAGUCCACAUCGACGGGGAGGUUUGGCACCUCGAUGUCGGCUCAUCGCAUCCUGGGGCUGAAUUCGGUCCCAAGGGUUUGGCUGUUCGCCAAUUAAAGCGGUACGCGAGCUGGGUUCAGAACGUCGUGAGACAGUUCGGUCCCUAUCUGUUGCGGGCGCAGGAAUAUUGAGAGGAGCUGUCCUUAGUACGAGAGGACCGGGAUGGACGUACCGCUGGUGCACCAGUUGUUCUGCCAAGGGCAUAGCUGGGUAGCUAAGUACGGACGAGAUAAACGCUGAAGGCAUCUAAGCGUGAAACUCCCCUCGAGAUAAGUGUUCCCAUCCUUCGGGAGUAAGGCCCCUUGUAGACUACAAGGUUGAUAGGUCAGGAGUGGAAGUGCAGUAAUGUAUGGAGCGGACUGAUACUAAUAGGCCGAGGGCUUGACCUUA